RNAcentral lists this unclassified non-coding RNA (310 nucleotides) under plant metagenome. RNAcentral's name for it is "partial contains 5.8S ribosomal RNA, internal transcribed spacer 2, and large subunit ribosomal RNA". The stretch from base 1 to 105 matches the Rfam family "5.8S ribosomal RNA", at positions 50 to 154 of the family's 154-position model. The record is from RNAcentral.
GAAAUGCGAUAAGUAGUGUGAAUUGCAGAAUUCAGUGAAUCAUCGAAUCUUUGAACGCACAUUGCGCCCCUUGGUAUUCCAUGUGGCAUGCCUGUUCGAGCGUCAUUUGUACCCUCAAGCUCUGCUUGGUGUUGGGUGUUUGUCCCCGUCUCCGCGCGUGGACUCGCCCCAAAGUGAUUGGCAGCCGGCGUACUGGUCCCGGAGCGCAGCACAUGUCGCGCAAACGAGUGCCUUGGUACGGCGGCGUCCAUAAGCCCCUCUCUCACGCUCUUGACCUCGGAUCAGGUAGGGAUACCCGCUGAACUUAAGC